UGAUAGCAAAAAAAAAAUUAAAUAAAAAUCAAAUCAAAUAAAUGCAUUGUGUUAAAAUGUAAAUCAUGAGAUAGUAAUGACAUACCAGUUACAAUGUGGAUUUCUAAAAUCAUCAGCGGCUGUAUACGAUUACAGAUAAUCGUGCAUUUAUAUAAGUAUAAAGAUUACAUAUAGGCUCAGAACAAAAAUAUGACUUUCUUCAAGAUCUGGCAACCAUCUACUGGAUCAGCCCAAUUGCUCUGCUCGGAGUGUGUUACCUACAGGCGAUCAGAGUCACAAGCAGCUGCAGCGUACGAGGCUAGGGUCACAGUGGAUCCGGAGUCUGUCAUCGGAACACCGGGAAUACAUUCUGGAUGGGAUGGCAGUCCAUCGCAGGACACCAUACACUCA
Molecule: long non-coding RNA, 390 nt
Organism: Ictalurus punctatus (channel catfish)
Lineage: Eukaryota; Metazoa; Chordata; Actinopteri; Siluriformes; Ictaluridae
Source: Ensembl